GGGUCGUUAGCUCAGUUGGUAGAGCAGUUGACUUUUAAUCAAUUGGUCGCAGGUUCGAUCCUGCACGACCACC
Molecule: transfer RNA, 73 nt
Filed under: Escherichia coli
Lineage: Bacteria; Pseudomonadati; Pseudomonadota; Gammaproteobacteria; Enterobacterales; Enterobacteriaceae
Description: tRNA-Lys(ttt)
Rfam family: tRNA
About the family: Transfer RNA (tRNA) molecules are approximately 80 nucleotides in length. Their secondary structure includes four short double-helical elements and three loops (D, anti-codon, and T loops).
Source: RNAcentral